This is a non-coding RNA of Zea mays, 95 nucleotides long. The record is from Rfam. Lineage: Eukaryota; Viridiplantae; Streptophyta; Magnoliopsida; Poales; Poaceae.
AUAGGAGCAGUGAUUGCAAUCUUUUGUAGACUAGAGUUUCUGAUACUACCACGGUAGUUUUGGACGACCAAACCCUUGGCUGUCUGAGCUCCCAA